This 354-nucleotide long non-coding RNA is filed under the name Homo sapiens (human). Its description in RNAcentral is "HSALNT0046114". Lineage: Eukaryota; Metazoa; Chordata; Mammalia; Primates; Hominidae. The record is from RNAcentral.
AUUCAGGCAGCAGCAGUUGGCAGCCUGAGGCAGCAGAGGGAAGCUGCGGCAGGGCUGAUGCCUGAGUGCACAGGUGACACCUUCCGGGGCCUCCCUGCAAUACCUGGCAGGAGGAAGAGACCUUGAAACAUCUGCUGAAAAAAUCAGAAGAUUCAGCAAUACUGAGCCCACCACCCCAAAUGAAAAAAAUUCUCCUGGCUCCAGGAUGAAGUAACUGCUUCAUCAGAAGCCCUUCAGAAGAACACACAGAUCAAGAUGCCUGGAAGGACAGCAGUCUCCUCACAGUCAUGCAUGACAGGACAGAAGAGGGAGGAAGAGAGAAGGAAUCCAGAAUCCUGACCAGUACAUCCGUAU